Molecule: unclassified non-coding RNA, 396 nt
Filed under: uncultured Kickxellales
Lineage: Eukaryota; Fungi; Kickxellomycota; Kickxellomycetes; Kickxellales
Description: sequence contains 5.8S rRNA gene, ITS2, 28S rRNA gene
Source: RNAcentral
AACGCAUCUUGCACUAUUCGGCUUCCCCGGAUAGUAUGCCUGGUUGAGUGUCUGUGUAUCUCUCCUAACCCUAGUGUUUUUAAUAGAUGCUAGAUGGCUAGGGACUUGGGGUCUUAAUCUCGUCGGAAACUCUUUUUAAUAAGUGUAACCCGGUGAACCCUUUAAAUAUAGUAAGCUCCCAUCUUUUUCUCUAUGGAAAUACGCAAACUUGGGGAUGGCGUCGUAGCAAUCUUUUGUAUUGUCGAAGCGCCUAUAACAACUCCUCUAAUCUGCGGUGCUAAUCCAUUCGAGGUGGGCGAAGCUUAACGACUGGCAAAGUGCCAUGCUCUACUACUUACUUCAGAGCACACGAACAAUAAUGACCUCAACUCAGGUAGGACGACCCGCUGGACUUAA